RNAcentral lists this ribosomal RNA (618 nucleotides) under Staphylococcus aureus. Its description in RNAcentral is "partial 23S ribosomal RNA". It matches the Rfam family "Bacterial large subunit ribosomal RNA", at positions 1919 to 2536 of the family's 2925-position model. Lineage: Bacteria; Bacillati; Bacillota; Bacilli; Caryophanales; Staphylococcaceae. The record is from RNAcentral.
CCCAGUAAACGGCGGCCGUAACUAUAACGGUCCUAAGGUAGCGAAAUUCCUUGUCGGGUAAGUUCCGACCCGCACGAAAGGCGUAACGAUUUGGGCACUGUCUCAACGAGAGACUCGGUGAAAUCAUAGUACCUGUGAAGAUGCAGGUUACCCGCGACAGGACGGAAAGACCCCGUGGAGCUUUACUGUAGCCUGAUAUUGAAAUUCGGCACAGCUUGUACAGGAUAGGUAGGAGCCUUUGAAACGUGAGCGCUAGCUUACGUGGAGGCGCUGGUGGGAUACUACCCUAGCUGUGUUGGCUUUCUAACCCGCACCACUUAUCGUGGUGGGAGACAGUGUCAGGCGGGCAGUUUGACUGGGGCGGUCGCCUCCUAAAAGGUAACGGAGGCGCUCAAAGGUUCCCUCAGAAUGGUUGGAAAUCAUUCAUAGAGUGUAAAGGCAUAAGGGAGCUUGACUGCGAGACCUACAAGUCGAGCAGGGUCGAAAGACGGACUUAGUGAUCCGGUGGUUCCGCAUGGAAGGGCCAUCGCUCAACGGAUAAAAGCUACCCCGGGGAUAACAGGCUUAUCUCCCCCAAGAGUUCACAUCGACGGGGAGGUUUGGCACCUCGAUGUCGGC